Non-coding RNA from Cherax quadricarinatus, 1009 nucleotides. The record is from RefSeq and is a predicted model, not a curated record. NCBI's taxonomy places the organism in Eukaryota, Metazoa, Arthropoda, Malacostraca, Decapoda, Parastacidae.
UGGCCCUCUAGAGUAUACUAUCAUUCCCUGGAAUGUAACCCACAACAGUCAACUAACACCUAGGUGUUAGGUAAAGGCGUGUGCAACUAGUGUGAUAUUUUGUGUCUAUGUUUCACUCUCCAGGAGCUUUAUCAAGCUUUUACAAACAAUACAAGUACACAGAGGAUCCUUGUAUUGUUUGUAAUGGCUUGAUGAAGCUCUUGGAAAGCAAAACAUUGCCACAACAAAAGUCACAUUAGUUGCAUGUUUCCUUUUACCUAACAAAUUGUUGGUAAUUCUAAUAUUAUUACUAACACCCAGAUACCAACACUGCUAGGUGAACAGGGGCAGCAGGUGUAAAGGAAAUGUAUGCAACGUUUCCACUCGUGUCAUAAAUCGAACUACGGACACUCAGUACACGAGCCGAGUGCAUUGCCAAUCAAGCCACAGGACACCUUAUUUCACUGGAGCUUGACGUGCCCAAGUUUUAGUAUGUAAUGUAAUGCAGAUGAUGUAAUAUUCCACAUCAGAAUGAAUCACAUAAAGAUACCACAGAAAGAUGCCAGCACACUUCUGCAAAGACUGAAAGUGGAACCCCGACUUACGACUAACACCCAAGUGAACAGGAAAAAAUGCCUGGAACUAGUGCUCAAAGGUUGGUUUGAGAGAUUUAAGAAUUCCAGUGGCAUACAGUGUGAUAAGGCCUGUUCUGGAAGAAAAUGCCAAACAGGACCUACUUUACUCAGGAGGAAAAGGCACUCCCAGGACACAGUGUCUCAUCACUCAUCACUACAUCUUCAAUAAAGAAGAUUUUCAUGGUCAGCGAGUGAAAUAGCAACUAUGCUUACACCACCACCCACCUCGGGUAAACAGCCUUCACCUCACCGUACGUCCAGCUUUAAGUUGCUGCUCUUCCAGUGUGUUGCUGCCUGUCAGUGCUUCAGCUCCAAGGGGAUGCUUCCCCAGAUCAUCUUUAAAGGCAAUGAGGCCAAGGUGAGCAUGUGAGGCCUCAUUAAGGGCGCGUGAGGUG